RNAcentral lists this non-coding RNA (30 nucleotides) under Rattus norvegicus (Norway rat). Lineage: Eukaryota; Metazoa; Chordata; Mammalia; Rodentia; Muridae. The record is from RNAcentral.
UCGAUGAAUGGCUUUGCCAACCUUGCUGAA